This 118-nucleotide ribosomal RNA is filed under the name Pteropus alecto (black flying fox). Lineage: Eukaryota; Metazoa; Chordata; Mammalia; Chiroptera; Pteropodidae. The record is from RNAcentral.
GUCUAUGGCCAUACUACCCUGAACAAGCCCAGUCCGUCUGAUCUCGGAGGCUAAGCAGGGUCAGGCCUGGUUAGUACUUGGAUGGGAGACCACCUGGGAAGACCAGGCGCUGUAGGAG